Molecule: ribosomal RNA, 492 nt
Filed under: uncultured bacterium
Lineage: Bacteria
Description: partial 16S ribosomal RNA
Rfam family: Bacterial small subunit ribosomal RNA
Source: RNAcentral
AGUGAACGCUGGCGGUAGGCCUAACACAUGCAAGUCGAACGGCAGCACAGUAAUAGCUUGUGGUUACGGGGGGGGAGGGGCGGGUGGGGCAUGAGUACCUCGGAAUCUGCUUUGUCGUGGGGGAUGACGUAGGGAAACUUACGCUAAUACCGCAGACGACCUACGUGGGAAAGCAGCGGAUCUUCGGACCUGGGGCGAUUCUAGGAGCCGAUGUCGGAUUAGUUAGUUGGUGGGGUAAAGGCCCACCGAGGCGACGAUCCGUAGCUGGUCUGAGAGGAUGAUCAGCCACACUGGAACUGAGACACGGUCCAGACUCCUACGGGAGGCAGCAGUGGGGAAUAUUGGACAAUGGGCGCAAGCCUGAUCCAGCCAUGCCGCGUGGGUGAAGAAGGUCUUCGGGUUGUAAAGCCCUUUUGUUGGGAAAGAAAAGCAGUAGGUUAAUACCACGCUGUUCUGACGGUACCAACAGAAUAAGCACCGGCUAACUUCGUG